Vicia villosa (hairy vetch) is the source of this 636-nucleotide long non-coding RNA. RefSeq lists it as uncharacterized. NCBI's taxonomy places the organism in Eukaryota, Viridiplantae, Streptophyta, Magnoliopsida, Fabales, Fabaceae. The transcript is spliced from 4 exons. The record is from RefSeq and is a predicted model, not a curated record.
AAACUCGUCACCAUUUUCAAGUUACAAAGACAGAGAGAGUAAUGGCAACAAUGCAAGAGUGUCCAAGAAGUCCAGAAGCGAAACUUGGGAUGCGAGUGGAGGAUCUAUGAGAUGUUCAAGAGGAAAUCCUAUUUGGUUGUAUGUGCUAUCAAAAAUUAAGGGCACAUGUUGUAAUGGUCGUGAGGAACACCAAGGUGUCUACUGAGUUAAUCCAGAGGUGGCAGAUUGAUUUUGCUGGAUUGGGUUGCACUCAAUGUUGAGGUGAUGGUGAUGGAUCUUCUUGUUGGAAUCGUUUGCUAGGUUGUUGAGGCAUGGAAUGCCCGCGGAGCACGCUUGCAUGUUCUUAUUAAUAAACUAGAAUUUUUUUCUUUUGGAGAGCCACAAGUUUUCAAAAGAUAGUUACGAAGAUCACAUGCAAGUGAGUUAUCUUGUGAGCCAUAAAAGUUGGUGUUGGACAUAUUGAUGCUUAAAUUGCUAUUACUAGGGUAGAUAAUUUGUUUUUGACAUAAGAAUUAAUGAAUGAGCUUGUGUUGUCUGACUCUCACAAUUAGUUUUCUUAAUCUUAUUUUUUUCCAUGAACUUGACAUAUUGCAUCUUAAUUCUGAUGUGAGUGAUGGUGGCUGAUUAUGAUUUCUA